UACGAAGGGGGCUAGCGUUGUUCGGAAUUACUGGGCGUAAAGCGCGCGUAGGUGGUUUCUUACGUCUGAUGUGAAAGCCCACGGCUCAACCGUGGAGGGUCAUUGGAAACUGGCGAGCUUGAGUGUGGCAGAGGGGGGUGGAAUUCCGCGUGUAGCAGUGAAAUGCGUAGAGAUGCGGAGGAACACCGAUGGCGAAGGCAGCCCCCUGGGCUGACACUGACGCUCAGGCACGAAAGCGUGGGGAGCAAACAGG
RNAcentral lists this ribosomal RNA (253 nucleotides) under uncultured bacterium. RNAcentral's name for it is "partial 16S ribosomal RNA". It matches the Rfam family "Bacterial small subunit ribosomal RNA", at positions 524 to 776 of the family's 1533-position model. The record is from RNAcentral.